CAGUCGCCGCGGGAAUACAGAGGGUGCGAGCGUUAAUCGGAUUUACUGGGCGUAAAGCGUGCGUAGGCGGCUAAUUGAGUCGGAUGUGAAAUCCCCGAGCUUAACUUGGGAAUUGCAUUCGAUACUGGUUAGCUAGAGUGUGGGAGAGGAUGGUAGAAUUCCAGGUGUAGCGGUGAAAUGCGUAGAGAUCUGGAGGAAUACCGAUGGCGAAGGCAGCCAUCUGGCCUAACACUGACGCUGAGGUACGAAAGCAUGGGGAGCAAACAGGAUUAGAUACCCCCGUAGUCCCUGUCUCUUAUAA
Molecule: ribosomal RNA, 301 nt
Filed under: uncultured bacterium
Lineage: Bacteria
Description: partial 16S ribosomal RNA
Rfam family: Bacterial small subunit ribosomal RNA
Source: RNAcentral